GAUGAACGCUAGCGGCAGGCUUAACACAUGCAAGUCGAGGGGCAGCGCGGGUAGCAAUACCUGGCGGCGACCGGCAAACGGGUGCGGAACACGUACAGAACCUACCUUGAUCUGGGGCAUAGCCCCGGAGAAAUCCGGAUUAACUCCCCAUAACAUAACGGAGUGGCAUCACUCUGCUAUUAAAAAUUCAUUGGAUCGAGAUGGCUGUGCGUCCCAUUAGCUAGUUGGUAGGGUAACGGCCUACCAAGGCAACGAUGGGUAGCUGGUGUG
This 270-nucleotide ribosomal RNA is filed under the name uncultured bacterium. RNAcentral describes it as "partial 16S ribosomal RNA". It matches the Rfam family "Bacterial small subunit ribosomal RNA", at positions 28 to 294 of the family's 1533-position model. The record is from RNAcentral.